RNAcentral lists this ribosomal RNA (888 nucleotides) under Inocybe alnea. Its description in RNAcentral is "eukaryotic LSU rRNA". It matches the Rfam family "Eukaryotic large subunit ribosomal RNA", at positions 132 to 995 of the family's 3401-position model. The record is from RNAcentral. Lineage: Eukaryota; Fungi; Basidiomycota; Agaricomycetes; Agaricales; Inocybaceae.
GACUGUCCGAGUUGUAAUCUAGAGAAGUGUUACCCGUGCUGGACUGUGUACAAGUCUCCUGGAAUGGGGCAUCAUAGAGGGUGAGAAUCCCGUCUUUGACACGGACUACCAGUGCACUGUGGGUGUGCUCUCGAAGAGUCGAGUUGUUUGGGAAUGCAGCUCAAAAUGGGUGGUAAAUGCCAUCUAAAGCUAAAUAUUGGCGAGAGACCGAUAGCGAACAAGUACCGUGAGGGAAAGAUGAAAAGAACUUUGGAAAGAGAGUUAAACAGUACGUGAAAUUGCUGAAAGGGAAACGCUUGAAGUCAGUCGCGUUGGCCAGAAAUCAGCCUUGCUUUUGCUUGGUGUACUUUCUGGUCUCUACGGGUCAGCAUCAAUCUUGACCACUGGAUAAAGUCUGUGGGAAUGUGGCAUCUUUUGGAUGUGUUAUAGCCCAUGGUCGCAUACGGUGGUUGGGAUUGAGGAACUCAGCACGCCGCAAAGGCCGGGUCAGUCUUGACCACGUUUCGUGCUUAGGAUGCUGGCAUAAUGGCUUUAAUCGACCCGUCUUGAAACACGGACCAAGGAGUCUAACAUGCCUGCGAGUGUUUGGGUGGAAAAACCCAUGCGCGCAAUGAAAGUGAAAGUUGAGAUCUUCUUGUCAAAGGAAGAGCAUUGACGCCCAGACCAGACCUUCUGUGACGGAUCUGCGGUAGAGCAUGUGUGUUGGGACCCGAAAGAUGGUGAACUAUGCCUGAAUAGGGUGAAGCCAGAGGAAACUCUGGUGGAGGCUCGUAGCGAUUCUGACGUGCAAAUCGAUCGUCAAAUUUGGGUAUAGGGGCGAAAGACUAAUCGAACCAUCUAGUAMCUGGUUCCUGCCGAAWUUUCCCUCAGAAAGCAAAAACUCAUAUC